GAUGAACGCUAGCGGCAGGCUUAAUACAUGCAAGUCGAGGGGCAGCACGGUUAGCAAUAACUGGUGGCGACCGGCGCACGGGUGCGUAACACGUAUACAAUCUACCUUAAACAGGGGGAUAGCCUUUCGAAAGAGAGAUUAAUACCCCGUAAUAAAUUGAACGGCAUCGUUUGAUUUUGAAAGCUCCGGCGGUUUGAGAUGAGUAUGCGUCUGAUUAGCUAGUUGGUGAGGUAACGGCUCACCAAGGCGACGAUCAGUAGGGGAUCUGAGAGGACUAACCCCCACACUGGUACUGAGACACGGACCAGACUCCUACGGGAGGUAGCAGUAGGGAAUAUUGCGCAAUGGGGGGAAACCCCUGACGCAGCGACGCCGCGUGAGUGAUGAAGGCCUUCGGGUCGUAAAGCUCUGUUGCAAGGGAAUAAGAAAGUAGAUAGUACCUUGUGAGGAAGGAUCGGCUAACUUCGUGCCAGCAGCCGCGGUAAU
RNAcentral lists this ribosomal RNA (486 nucleotides) under uncultured bacterium. RNAcentral's name for it is "bacterial SSU rRNA". It matches the Rfam family "Bacterial small subunit ribosomal RNA", at positions 28 to 524 of the family's 1533-position model. The record is from RNAcentral.